GAUGAACGCUGGCGGCGUGCCUAAUACAUGCAAGUCGAGCGAACAGACGAGGAGCUUGCUCCUCUGAUGUUAGCGGCGGACGGGUGAGUAACACGUGGAUAACCUACCUAUAAGACUGGGAUAACUUCGGGAAACCGGAGCUAAUACCGGAUAACAUGUUGAACCGCAUGGUUCAACAGUGAAAGACGGUCUUGCUGUCACUUAUAGAUGGAUCCGCGCCGCAUUAGCUAGUUGGUAAGGUAACGGCUUACCAAGGCAACGAUGGGUAGCCGACCUGAGAGGGUGAUCAGCCACACUGGAACUGAGACACGGUCCAGACUCCUACGGGAGGCAGCAGUAGGGAAUCUUCCGCAAUGGGCGGAAGCCUGACGGAGCAACGCCGCGUGAGUGAAGAAGGUCUUCGGAUCGUAAAACUCUGUUAUUAGGGAAGAACAAAUGUGUAAGUAACUAUGCACGUCUUGACGGUACCUAAUCAGAAAGCCACGGCUAACUACGUG
RNAcentral lists this ribosomal RNA (497 nucleotides) under uncultured bacterium. Its description in RNAcentral is "partial 16S ribosomal RNA". It matches the Rfam family "Bacterial small subunit ribosomal RNA", at positions 28 to 507 of the family's 1533-position model. The record is from RNAcentral.